Molecule: non-coding RNA, 73 nt
Organism: Pangasianodon gigas (Mekong giant catfish)
Lineage: Eukaryota; Metazoa; Chordata; Actinopteri; Siluriformes; Pangasiidae
Source: the annotation of a GenBank genome assembly
GAAGCAGAAUCUGCCAAAAAACCACGGAACAUCUUGAGAAAAGUGCGAAGUCUCCUUCAGGUGUUUUUCUCAA